RNA transcript from Helianthus annuus (common sunflower), 3396 nucleotides. RefSeq lists it as uncharacterized. The transcript has 12 exons. NCBI's taxonomy places the organism in Eukaryota, Viridiplantae, Streptophyta, Magnoliopsida, Asterales, Asteraceae. The record is from RefSeq and is a predicted model, not a curated record.
AUACCUACCCUAGGGUUUUUGAUCAGCCGCUCUCUCCUCCGUUUCGUUUCUGCUUUUCUUCAAUCUAGAAUUUUGGAUCUUCGUCUUAAUCAAGUUGAUGAACUUAUAACCCGACUUCACUCACAGCCAACUUCAGAUGCCCUAGGGUUUCUUCCAGACGUCCGUUCGUCAUCUCCACCAUCUCAUCUAUCUCUCUCCGGCCACCACUAACCAAGUUGAUGAACUCGCUGCAGAAACCGACGAUGUGAUGGUUGCUAAUCAUCUCGAUUGUGCCUCUAGAGAGACGGUUGGGUGGCUGGAUUGGAAUGCCGUCGUCGCCGAUCCAAAUCAUCAGCGGCUAGGGCUCGAUUGAUCCCUGCAUUGAUUUAGGAUUUUUGUCUUCACCAACAUCAGACGAUUGAAUGAUGGAGCACGCUUUGCAUUUGGGAACAACUCAAAGGGUUUGUGUGUGGACGGCUUUUCUGUUGGUGGUGUUGUCUAUUUUGGGUGCUUGCUCAAUCAUCAAUAGAUUCACAAGCGUAGCUGGUGAAUUAUUUGGUCUGUUAAUCGCAAUGCUCUUUAUGCAGCAAGCUAUUAAAGGAGUUGUGGAUGAGUUUGGUAUACCAAAAAUUCAAAACCCUAAUCAACCUGCUAUGAAAUCUUCAUGGCGUUUUGGAAAUGGAAUGUUUGCUUUGUUUUUAUCUUUUGGUCUUCUCCUUACUUCUUUACAAAGUCGUAAAGCAAGAUCUUGGCGAUACGGAACAGGUUAAUGUCGGGGUGGGGGGAUCUAAGAAAAUGGCUAGGCUUGGAUUUUUCGUUUUGAAAGAAAACCUUGCAAGAUCUGGUACUGGGACAAUUGUUGCUCUGCCUCUUUCUAAUUCUCUCACCUUCACUGUUCUACCAUUCUGUUUCUCAUCACCUCGCACUUCCAAAAUGGAUUCCGCAUGGCGAUUCAAUUCCGACAAUUCUAAAGAAGACGAAAGUUUGAUUAUCGCAAAAGGGUGCUUCAAAGGGUUUGUUUUGCGAAGACCACGGAAAGAACGAGCAACCAAGAUUCAUAAGCAACUAUGGAGAUGGCAUACCGGUGAUGGUCAAUAGAGUUUCAAGCCCCCACCACUUCUGCUUUAAUACCUCCAUGUCAGAAACAACAACUCUCCAUCCACCCACACCAUUCGCAAAGCCAUUCCAAAACAACUUACUGCGCACCGAAAAUGAUGAAGGCGACCGAUGAUGAAAACGAAAGUUGGGGCUCACGUUUAAACAGAGAGAAAAGAGUUCUCAUUAGUCUAUGGGCGAAAGUAAUGAGAGAAAGGCAAGGGAGGGGCUUUGCUGAGAUGGCCGAUAUCGGUUUCUAUCUCGGCUACUGAGGACGAUGAACAAGAUCAUAUUCCCAAUUAGCAAAAGGCUUGAAAGUCGCAUCAGUGUCUACUCACACCAAUUCAUUUCCCUUUGAUGAUGGGUCACGCGGGAUCCAUUUAUACCUACAUUCGGGUCAAAUGACUACUGUGGUGGCGACUAAGGGUGAUGUUGAUGACAAUUUUGGUACACAACAACAGUGGAAUGAAUAGGGUUUCACUGUGACCAUGACGGCUGCGGGUGUAGUUUCCGCUGGUGACAUCCUGACGAUUUUGAUGGUUUAGCAUGUAGUAAGUGGUCCGAUUUCAAGAGGAUACACAGUUGCACAAUGGCUCUUCGUUUUGAGGGUUACAUUGCCUUAUGGGACUGUGAAGGAGUGGAAGAAAUGAGAAACAACUCAUUUCGAUAUAACGAAGGAGUUAUCAAAUAGUUUGUCUUCAAAUGCUUUGAUUUCUCACGUGGAUGGUGUGAUGUGACACAUGUCAUGGCAUUUGGAAGGUGGGUGUCAUGUCAGCUCAAGAUUUUCACUUUUGAUAGUGAUGAGGGACGCGAUACGUGUUGGCAUUCGAGUGCUCAUAUUCUUGGGCAGGUUCUGGAACAAACAUUUGGAUGCAAGUUGUGUAUUGGGACGUGUAAUAUAGGAGGAGAGGUAUGUUUUUAGUGUUUUGUUCUCUUUACUUCAAGGUUCUUUAGUUGUUAGGGUUGUAGUAAGAUUUGAUAUUGUAUAUUGGAGAUCCGUUUCUCCUGGCUUGUGUGUGUUGCAUUCCACUAAUAUAUGCUGUAUUUGGAAAAUAAAUAAUAUGUUUGGAUUGUGUUUUAUAGCUAUCGGGUCCGAUUUUUAAAUAUCUAUGCAAUAGUUUAAUAAAAAUAUCAUUUUUAGCUACCGGGUUGUAAAAUUGGUUGUUGGACUUGGAGUUGGUGUCCCAUGGAUUACGUGGUAGCAAAUUGAUACUCUAUAAUACAUUGUCCCUUCCUACUAUGUUGGCUUUUGUUUCAAUAAACGUUAUUCAGAGUCAGAAGCGACAGUCUUGACAUGUUCACAUAUGAAUCGGUUGAUUCAUGUUUUAUGUCUAAGGACUAACGGGGUAAAUGGGUAAAUAAAAGUUCAGCUCAAAACCAGAAAAUGAUAAUGUUAAAAAUGGUCAAGUGUCCCUGAGUAUAUGUUUAAUGCAAAUAUAUCCUACAUAAUUUAUCCAAGAAAUAUAUAUAUUUUUUCAUUUAAAUGCAUUACUUUUGUAAUCAUAUUUGAUACACGGGUUGUUUAUACGAAGACUUUAGUUUUAGACAAACCAUGUAUCGGGUCAAACCUGACCCGUUUCAACCCAUAAAAAAUUACCCCUUUUCACCGGUAACCAAACUCUAUUGAGACGGAACCUAACUUGACAACUUGAUUUUGUUUUGACAUGGGUUUGUUAUUGCAAAUGGAUACUAUCAACUCAUUUAUCUGGCGAUUGCUAAGGAGUUUGAAAGCGUGAGAGCUGGUACACCUGUGGCGCCUUUUGAUAUGUCAAGAUACGGGCUUGAUGUUCCAUCACAUAAUGAUGAAACUGCUUGGAAGCAGCCACUUCAUAAAUCUCAAUGCUUACUUCAACAUCAAGUUAUCGGGUUUGGCUAAAGCAUAUAACUAUCUUGCCAGCAUAUAUACUCAUGUGCUUGGAUUUUUUUAGUUGGCUUUUUGUUAAUCUUUUAUUUUGAGCGAAGAUAUGGAAGAAGUUGAAGCUGCUAAUACAGUUGUUGAAAGUUUCCAUAAAAUUUUCAGCCUAUUGGUUAAACCACAAGAUCAAACUCAGUACAAAAACUUGAUAGUCCAAACAGGGGAUGCAUCGGUUAAGUUCAAGAAAAUUGUAACUUUACUUGAUGAUGGUGUGGGUCAUGCUAAGGUUAAAUGGUCAGCUACUCCACCAUUUUAACCAUACCAAAACUACCACAAUCAGUUAAAGAAAUUAAAUCAAACUAGGUCUAUACUUCUGUGCGCGUUGUGCACGGGACCGCUGCGAAGAACAAAAAAGAAAAUGUAGAAAAAAACACUAAAAGAUAACUGAAAGAAAAUAAACAAAAAAA